Molecule: long non-coding RNA, 4380 nt
Organism: Acinonyx jubatus (cheetah)
Lineage: Eukaryota; Metazoa; Chordata; Mammalia; Carnivora; Felidae
Exons: 13
Source: RefSeq, a predicted model, not a curated record
UUGCUUUCCUCUUCCUGGCUUGAAAAUGUUCUUUCAGGAAAGACACCUUCCCAGACGUUUCAUUACAUGUUUGAAGUAUUUAUACACAUACCUGGGGAAAAUGAACUCUAACACUGUGAACUCUACAAGGCACGUAAGUCAAAAGGCAACCAAAGGAAUUAUUAUCCAGCAAGUUACCACCAAGAGCAACUAUCUUGUGACCCUGCUGGGAUUCAGUAUAGACUGUGCACCCUGGAGUUAUCUUCCGCAGGAGUGACAGAGCUGGGACAUUUAAGUUCCCAUCCGAUGUUGGUUGAAGGCUGCAUCUUGGACGUUAAUUCUACGGCACUUCUGUGCUGCCAUUCGAGUGGCCAAGCAUGGCUUCCCCUUUUUCCAGAAGAGGAAAUGAGGACUGGAGAUGUCGAAUAACCUACCCAAGGACAUGCAGGAAAAUGUGGAAUUCAAACACUCCACUCAUUGGACAGAGGAAAGAGUCAGUUGAGGUGACGGAUGAUAGAUAUUCUGGGAAGAGGAAGAGCCGGACUGUGGAGAAAGAGCCGGGGGCUGCUGUCUGGCCCGGACAGGCUUCUCCACGUCCGGCAGCUCUAGUCUACAGAGGGGACCGCGUGCUGCCUGGAGCUCCGUCUUGACAUCUCGGCGAUUACUCUCUCCUGGGUGCAGGUAAUGGCCAACAGGUGUGCCUCUUAGGGAAUCACCAGUAGAUCCAGGAUGGUGAGAGCUUAUUUAAUAUGCUGACACAUUGAGCGGCGACGGGAAGGAUUCCGCAGUCACACCGAGGCUCAUUGAACAAGAGUGAUGUGAGUGCCGUGAGGAGCCCCAACUGACGGACUUACCAAGGCGUUGCCACCGUGGGGACUCCCAGGCUGGAGAUCACAUGGGAAACGUAGCUGGACCUCACGAGGUGUAUGGCUUCUGUGAGGACGGAGUGGAGCUCAGGCAGCAGGGCCCUGCAAGGACGGCCCAUAGCAGACCCUACCAGCCACCGACUUCAGCAUGCAGGCCUUCCAGGGAGGACCCGGAGGAUGGCACAGGGACCUGCGCGUAUGAAUCAUGUGGGUCGAGGACCUCCGUCCCCUUCCAUGCCAGCACCAGGGAGGAUCCUUUUCUCUCCUCUGCUUUACCACCAUCUAGCAUCCAGAGUAACCUAAUUCAAGAGCCCAACUAAGUCAUCCCGGAGUGUGAGGUGACCUGCAGGACAAGUGGGUGCCCAUCACUGCAGAGCCACACAAGUACCUGGACCAGGAACCAGAGAAGCUGGAGGAGACCCAGUGGGCAGUGGAGAUGCUGUGGGCCCAGCCAGUGUCCACAGCACCCAGAAAUUCCCUGAUUCCUCUGCCUUCAUUUCCUUGAGGAUACGGAUGAAUAGCUUGGGACUGAUGUUUACCUGCUAUUUGGGAAAGCUUGUUGGGUCAGUUCCCCUGAGUGGUCAUGAGACAGUGCCCAGCUUAGCAGGUGUGUCCCUGAAGUACAUUUGUCAUCAGAAAGGGAAUUCCUCUUUGUUGCAAAUGAAAUGUGAUUGCUUGUCAGGUUGUGCCUUGAGCAUUCAGAAGAAAUGUUACAUUAAUUGGUUAAAAUAUCAGAAUGCAACAGUUCUUAAUGUACUCCACCAUGUCCUGAAGCACUGUCAGAAUAUGAAAUCGACUGGGUGAAUUUCCUCUUGAGUGACAGCUAUAAGUAUCUGCAAAAUGGACUUCUAAAUUUUCAGUGGUUGCCAAAUCAAGAUACUUCUGUAAGAAGACACCCAGGUUCAAGAUUAAUGGGUAAAAAUGACUUUGAUGGUGAUGAUAAAGAAAUAAUAGUAAUUAACAUUUGUGGAAUGUUAUUUACAUGUAUUACUACACUUAGUUCUCAGAACAACCCAAUGAAGAAGGUGCUAUAAUAAUCCUCAUUUUACUGGUGAGGAAGUUGGAGCUUAGAAAGCUUAAAACUUGUCCAAGGUGACACAGGUAGUGAAUUCCAGAAAUGAGAUUCAAACCAGUCAUUCUGACUCUAGAAACUAUUUUAUUUACUGUCUCCUUAUAUUUCCAGGUUUAGUUCAUAUUUCUUUCCUCCUUCUCCCCUCCUCCCUCUUUUUCUUCUUCCCUCUCUGCAGACUUCAUUCUUUUCCAUUUGUUCAUUUUCUUUAUAUUUUUUAAAUCUCCAAACAUUGAAUAAGUACACGCUCUGUGCUGGGCAUGAUGUUAAGAGGCAGGAAUUCAAAGAUGAGCAAGACUCAGAUCAUACUCGCAAGAAACUUGCAGGGUCUCUCAGAAACACGGUGCCAUCUUGCAGCCCUGCUGAUACUUCGGCGGCCUGGGUCUGUCACCGGAAGGGUCUUCUGCGCAGAACAGGAAGUGAACGGUGCACUUUACCCAGCCGGCCAAGACUGAGCUGAGUGAGACCGCAGGACUGCGAUGGAGUGAAAGGGACCCGCACGCUCGGCAGGGGACCCCAGUGCCCCAUCUGCGUUGCAGCUUCCUCCUGUGCUCCUUGCAGGUGUCGUCAGCUUCCACCGACAGCCAGCUCUGGACCCCGCUGCCCCGCCGCCUUCCUUCGCUGGCCGUCCCCUAAAACGAGCCUCUGAUCUCAGAGACGUGCUGGAUGGAAGGAUGGAAUAUAAGAAAGUAUCUUUGCCCGGCAUCUGAUGGGAAUAGUGGCAUGGAACGGGUCUCGACAUUAGUUGAGGAAACUGGACUUUAGCACCAGUUGGAGUUUAUUCCGAGUGUAUGACUGGAUUCCAACAAAUUUGGUCAUGAUCUCACGGUUGUGGAAUCGAGUCUCGUGUCUGGAUCUGCGCUGGAAGCGGAGCCUGCUUGGGAUUCUCUCUCUCCCUCUCUCUCAGCCCCUCUCCCACUUGUACUCGCUCGCUCGCUCUCAAAAUAAAUACGUAAACAUUAAAAAAAGAAAAACUUUCAGCCUUGUCCGUUUCAGUCCUUUUAUACCCUUGAGGUGGGUGAAGGGCUGGUGGUUGCAGUGGAUGCCUCCUUUGCCCAGGGCUGUCUGUCUAGGAGGUCUGGCAGGUCAUUUUGGAGUGUGAGAGCACUAAUCAUCUCCUGCUUUGUUCUGAAUCUUUGAGGCCCCAGACAAAGCUGAAAGAUUCUCAUUUUUUUUUAAGUUUAUUUUUGAGAGAGACAGUGCGAGUGGAGGAGGGGCAGAGAGAAAGGGAGACACAGAAUGCAAAGCAGGCUCCAGGCUCCGAGCUGUCAGUGCAGAACCUGAUGCUGGCUCGAACCCGCUAACUGUGAGAUCACCUGAGCCGAAACCAAGAGCUGGAGGCUUAACUGACUACACCACCCAGGCACCCCUGAAAGAUUCUCAUUUUAACAUCUUGUUAUAGACCUAGAGAUUCCACUGUUUUCCAUAAAUUGAAACAUAUUAAUGUCCUCCAAAGUGUUGUCUUGUCAAUACAUCCAAGUCUUUUCAUUUCUAGAUGAUGUUGAGCUGCCUCAUUCAUUUUAAUGAAGCAUCAAAAUAUCCUAUCAGGUAGAUAAGCUAUAAUUUAACCAUUUCCCUACUGAUGGGCUGUUUCCCAUUUUGGGGUCUUAUAAAUAACGCUGCUAUAAAUAUUUUUGUAUUCACACAUUUGUUUUGCAUGUGUGUAUACAUGUUAGUAUUUCUCUAGAAUAGAAGUUCAGAAAUGACGCAGAAGGUAUGAAAAGGUAUGUACCAGAAGCACUGCUAGACACUACCAACAGGAGAGCUGUAUGAACUCUUUCUCCAGCAGUGCCUAAGAGUACCCAUUUCCCCAUAGCCGACUAAGUAUUUUCAUUGGUUUUAAUCUUUGCCAUUUUGAGAGGGCAGCAGUGAUCUUGUUAUUAUUUUAUUCUGUAUUCCCCUGAUGACUAAUGAGGUGAGCUAUCUUUUCUCAUGUUUGUCCAUUUGUAUCUGUGCUCUUUGAAUUGCCUCAUCACACAUCCUCCAUUCUGGGGCUUUAAGUUCUUUCCCAACUCCUUGUAGUUACAAACAAGGGCAAAAUGGGAGAAUGAUAAAGAAGAGAGAGAAUGUAGAGACUUCGUGGGAACCCAGGCCCAGCUCCGUGAGGACAAGAAAUGGCAGAAAUUCUACCACUCAGAUUUUAUCACUUUUUUUUUCUCCAAAACUCUUUGCAAGUCUGAAUCUGAAACAUUAGCUACCUUUCUCCUCAAAUUGACACGUGUAAUUUUAUUAGUAAAAUUUCAAAUGAUUCCUUGUGUUUGAGAAUAUGUGCAAACUUACUUUGAAUCUUAAGCCCAAGUAGUCACAUUUAUGCCUUUUUGUCUCUUUGCCUUUAUUUCACAUACAUUGAAAAUUACUAAAGGCAUAUUGGGUUAGGAGGAAGAAACAUCGGAGAUUAUUUAGGAACACCUAGCAGCCAUGGCAACAUGCCUUGAAAAGGGGCAUGUGCUCUGCUAAAAAAUAUUC